UUUCUACUCCCUCCGUCCGAAAAUACUUGUCAUCAAAAUGGAUAAAAAGAGAUGUAUCUAAAACUAAAAUACGUCUAGAUACAUUUCCUUUUAUCCAUUUUGAUGACAAGUAUUUCCGGACGGAGGGAGUAUUUG
Triticum urartu is the source of this 135-nucleotide non-coding RNA. NCBI's taxonomy places the organism in Eukaryota, Viridiplantae, Streptophyta, Magnoliopsida, Poales, Poaceae. The record is from Rfam.